Molecule: long non-coding RNA, 460 nt
Organism: Juglans microcarpa x Juglans regia
Lineage: Eukaryota; Viridiplantae; Streptophyta; Magnoliopsida; Fagales; Juglandaceae
Exons: 3
Source: RefSeq, a predicted model, not a curated record
AGUGUGUUGGGAGGAGCAUUUUUGAAGUAUUUUCAGUUGUUGUCAUCUAAGUAUGGAGUUUGUUGUUUAUGCUUAUCAUUAUUUCUAAUUCUUGUUGUCGAGUCAUUGUAAUAUUUCCUUUAAGUAGUCGGUUAUUUCUACUUUACACGUGUUGCAAGUUUAUUAGAUUAGUUAGUUAUCCCUGCGUGGAUAUGAAGGGAAGCAAAGCACUAAGGAGGUAUUGAUGAAGAUUCUGGAAGAUUUUACUGAGAGAAUGAUGUAAUGGAGGUUGGGUCCCUCAAAGAACCCAUAGCAAAAUACCAAUGGCUCUAUUGAGCUUUUUAUCAAACAUCCCUUGUGCAUUCUCAUGUACUCAUUCACCCAGUAGUCAUUUACAUUCACUACAUUCCUCAUUACAAGCAUUUCAUAUAACCAUUUAUGUGUUCUUAUCUACUCUUUCAAUGGGAUUCAUUACAAUUGG